CCUUACCAGGUCUUGACAUCCUUUGACAAUCCUAGAGAUAGGACUUUCCCUUCGGGGACAAAGUGACAGGUGGUGCAUGGUUGUCGUCAGCUCGUGUCGUGAGAUGUUGGGUUAAGUCCCGCAACGAGCGCAACCCCUAUUGUUAGUUGCCAGCAUUCAGUUGGGCACUCUAAUGAGACUGCCGGUGACAAACCGGAGGAAGGUGGGGAUGACGUCAAAUCAUCAUGCCCCUUAUGACCUGGGCUACACACGUGCUACAAUGGAUGGUACAACGAGCAGCAAGACCGCGAGGUCAAGCGAAUCUCUUAAAGCCAUUCUCAGUUCGGAUUGCAGGCUGCAACUCGCCUGCAUGAAGCCGGAAUCGCUAGUAAUCGCGGAUCAGCACGCCGCGGUGAAUACGUUCCCGGGUCUUGUACACACCG
RNAcentral lists this ribosomal RNA (422 nucleotides) under uncultured bacterium. RNAcentral describes it as "bacterial SSU rRNA". It matches the Rfam family "Bacterial small subunit ribosomal RNA", at positions 969 to 1392 of the family's 1533-position model. The record is from RNAcentral.